This 406-nucleotide ribosomal RNA is filed under the name uncultured Bacilli bacterium. Its description in RNAcentral is "bacterial SSU rRNA". It matches the Rfam family "Bacterial small subunit ribosomal RNA", at positions 114 to 507 of the family's 1533-position model. The record is from RNAcentral. Lineage: Bacteria; Bacillati; Bacillota; Bacilli.
CGCGUGGGGAAUCUGCCAAUGAGUGGGGGACAACAUUUGGAAACGAAUGCUAAUACCGCAUAAAAUCUAUUGAGACAUCUCAAGAGAUUGAAAGGAACAAUUGUUUCGCUCGUUGAUGAUCCCGCGUUGUAUUAGCUAGUUGGUGAGGUAACGGCUCACCAAGGCGAUGAUACAUAGCCGACCUGAGAGGGUGAUCGGCCACAUUGGGACUGAGACACGGCCCAAACUCCUACGGGAGGCAGCAGUAGGGAAUCUUCGGCAAUGGGGGCAACCCUGACCGAGCAACGCCGCGUGAGUGAAGAAGGUUUUCGGAUCGUAAAACUCUGUUGUUAGAGAAGAACGUGUGUGGGAGUGGAAAAUCCAUGCAGUGACGGUAUCUAACCAGAAAGGGACGGCUAACUACGUG